UACGUAGGUGGCAAGCGUUGUCCGGAAUUAUUGGGCGUAAAGCGCGCGCAGGCGGCCUUCUAAGUCAGACGUGAAAUCCCCCGGCUUAACCUGGGAACUGCGUCUGAUACUGGGAGGCUUGAGUAUGGGAGAGGGAUGUAGAAUUCCAGGUGUAGCGGUGAAAUGCGUAGAUAUCUGGAGGAAUACCGGUGGCGAAGGCGGCAUCCUGGACCAUAACUGACGCUGAGGCGCGAAAGCUAGGGGAGCAAACGGU
This 253-nucleotide ribosomal RNA is filed under the name uncultured bacterium. Its description in RNAcentral is "partial 16S ribosomal RNA". It matches the Rfam family "Bacterial small subunit ribosomal RNA", at positions 524 to 776 of the family's 1533-position model. The record is from RNAcentral.